UACGGAGGGUGCGAGCGUUGUUCGGAAUUAUUGGGCGUAAAGCGCACGUAGGCGGCCCGUUAAGUCUCUUGGUGAAAGGCCGGGGCUCACCCCCGAGCAUGCCGGGGAUACGGGGGGGCUGGAGACAGGCAGAGGCCAGCGGAAUUCCGGGUGUAGCGGUGGAAUGCGUAGAGAUCCGGAAGAACACCGGAGGCGAAGGCGGCUGGCUGGGCCUGAUCUGACGCUGAGGUGCGAAAGCGUGGGGAGCGAACAGG
RNAcentral lists this unclassified non-coding RNA (254 nucleotides) under uncultured Gemmatimonadota bacterium. RNAcentral's name for it is "uncultured Gemmatimonadetes bacterium contains 16S-23S intergenic spacer region". It matches the Rfam family "Bacterial small subunit ribosomal RNA", at positions 524 to 776 of the family's 1533-position model. Lineage: Bacteria; Pseudomonadati; Gemmatimonadota. The record is from RNAcentral.